Molecule: ribosomal RNA, 391 nt
Filed under: uncultured eukaryote
Lineage: Eukaryota
Description: partial 18S ribosomal RNA
Rfam family: Eukaryotic small subunit ribosomal RNA
Source: RNAcentral
CAAUAGCGUAUAUUAAAGUUGUUGCAGUUAAAAAGCUCGUAGUUGGAUUUCUGUGAGAGUGCCGGUGUCGGCUGAUGCUUGUACGCAGGCGCUCUUACAUCCUUCUGUUAACUGUUCUUGGCAUUUUAUUGCUGGUUCAGGGCUCAGAUAUUUUACCUUGAGAAAAUUAGAGUGUUUCAGGCAGGCUUAUGCCGGAAUACAUUAGCAUGGAAUAAUGGAACGGGACCUGUGCGUCUCUCGGGGCGCCGGUCUCCGUUGUUGGUUUCGGGGACUAAUGUAAUGAUUAAUAGGGAUAGUUGGGGGCAUUAGUAUUUAAUAGUCAGAGGUGAAAUUCUCGGAUUUGUUAAAGACUAACUUAUGCGAAAGCAUUUGCCAAGGAUGUUUUCAUUAA